AGAAGUUUAGGUUUAAUACUAGACCGUAGGCCUUCAAAGCCCGAGGCGGGAGUGAAAAUCUCCCAACUUCUG
This 72-nucleotide transfer RNA is filed under the name Centrobranchus choerocephalus. Its description in RNAcentral is "tRNA-Trp". It matches the Rfam family "tRNA". Rfam says of the family: Transfer RNA (tRNA) molecules are approximately 80 nucleotides in length. Their secondary structure includes four short double-helical elements and three loops (D, anti-codon, and T loops). The record is from RNAcentral. RNAcentral also lists the same sequence under 1 other name. Lineage: Eukaryota; Metazoa; Chordata; Actinopteri; Myctophiformes; Myctophidae.